This 439-nucleotide ribosomal RNA is filed under the name uncultured bacterium. RNAcentral's name for it is "partial 16S ribosomal RNA". It matches the Rfam family "Bacterial small subunit ribosomal RNA", at positions 339 to 795 of the family's 1533-position model. The record is from RNAcentral.
CUACGGGGUGCACCAGUGGGGAAUAUUGCACAAUGGAGGAAACUCUGAUGCAGCAACGCCGCGUGGAGGAUGACACUUUUCGGAGCAUAAACUCCUUUUAUAUAGGAAGAUAAUGACGGUACUAUAUGAAUAAGCACCGGCUAACUCCGUGCCAGCAGCCGCGGUAAUACGGAGGGUGCAAGCGUUACUCGGAAUCACUGGGCGUAAAGAGCGUGUAGGCGGGUUAAUAAGUCAGAAGUGAAAUCCUAUGGCUCAACCAUAGAACUGCUUUUGAAACUGUUAACCUAGAAUAUGGGAGAGGUAGAUGGAAUUUCUGGUGUAGGGGUAAAAUCCGUAGAGAUCAGAAGGAAUACCGAUUGCGAAGGCGAUCUACUGGAACAUUAUUGACGCUGAGACGCGAAAGCGUGGGGAGCAAACAGGAUUAGAUACCCGCGUAGUC